GACAGGGGAUGCAAGCGUUAUCCGGAAUGAUUGGGCGUAAAGCGUCUGUAGGUGGCUUUUUAAGUCUGCCGUCAAAUCCCAGGGCUCAACCCUGGCCAGGCGGUGGAGACUACUAAGCUGGAGUACGGUAGGGGCAGAGGGAAUUUCCGGUGGAGCGGUGAAAUGCGUAGAUAUCGGAAAGAACACCAAGGGCGAAGGCACUCUGCUGGGCCGAAACUGACACUGAGAGAAGAAAGCUAGGGGAGCGAAUGGG
RNAcentral lists this ribosomal RNA (253 nucleotides) under uncultured bacterium. Its description in RNAcentral is "partial 16S ribosomal RNA". It matches the Rfam family "Bacterial small subunit ribosomal RNA", at positions 524 to 776 of the family's 1533-position model. The record is from RNAcentral.